CAGCCGCCACGGUAAUACGUAGGGUCCGAGCGUUGUCCGGAAUUAUUGGGCGUAAAGGGCUCGUAGGCGGUUUGUUGCGUCGGGAGUGAAAACCCAGGGCUUAACUUUGGGCUUGCUUUCGAUACGGGCAGACUUGAGGCAUUGAGGGGAGAACGGAAUUCCUGGUGUGGCGGUGAAAUGCGCAGAUAUCAGGAGGAACACCGGUGGCGAAGGCGGUUCUCUGGCAAUGUUCUGACGCUGAGGAGCGAAAGUGUGGGGAGCGAACAGGAUUAGAUACCCCCGUAGUCCCUGUCUCUUAUAC
RNAcentral lists this ribosomal RNA (301 nucleotides) under uncultured bacterium. RNAcentral's name for it is "partial 16S ribosomal RNA". It matches the Rfam family "Bacterial small subunit ribosomal RNA", at positions 509 to 807 of the family's 1533-position model. The record is from RNAcentral.